Molecule: ribosomal RNA, 253 nt
Filed under: uncultured bacterium
Lineage: Bacteria
Description: partial 16S ribosomal RNA
Rfam family: Bacterial small subunit ribosomal RNA
Source: RNAcentral
GACGUAGGAGGCGAGCGUUGUCCGGAGUUACUGGGCGUAAAGCGCGCGCAGGCGGUCACGCAGGUCAUCUGUGAAAGCACUCGGCUCAACCGGGAUGUUGCGGGUGAAACCGCGUGACUUGAGGGUGGGAGAGGUCGGUGGAAUUCCCGGUGUAGUGGUGAAAUGCGUAGAGAUCGGGAGGAACACCCGUAGCGAAGACGGCCGACUAGACCACACCUGACGCUGAGGCGCGAAGGCCAGGGGAGCGAACGGG